Ribosomal RNA from Fusarium fujikuroi IMI 58289, 120 nucleotides. Lineage: Eukaryota; Fungi; Ascomycota; Sordariomycetes; Hypocreales; Nectriaceae. The record is from Rfam.
ACAUACGACCAUAGGUAGUGGAAAAUACGGGAUCCCGUCUGCUCUCCCAUAGUCAAGCCACUAAUCGGCAGAUCAGUAGUUGGGUCGGUGACGACCAGCGAAUCCCUGCUGUUGUAUGUU